GACGAACGCUGGCGGCGUGCUUAACACAUGCAAGUCGAACGGAAAGGCCCUGCUUUUGUGGGGUGCUCGAGUGGCGAACGGGUGAGUAACACGUGAGUAACCUGCCCUUGACUUUGGGAUAACUUCAGGAAACUGGGGCUAAUACCGGAUAGGAGCUCCUGCUGCAUGGGGGGGGUUGGAAAGUUUCGGCGGUUGGGGAUGGACUCGCGGCUUAUCAGCUUGUUGGUGGGGUAGUGGCUUACCAAGGCUUUGACGGGUAGCCGGCCUGAGAGGGUGACCGGCCACAUUGGGCCUGAGGUACGGCCCAGACUCCUACGGGGGGCAGCAGUGGAGAACAUUGCACAAUGGGCCGAAGCCUGAUGCAGCAACGCCGCGUGCGGGAUGACGGCCUUCGGGUUGUAAACCGCUUUCGCCUGUGACGAAGCGUGAGUGACGGUAAUGGGUAAAGAAGCACCGGCUAACUACGUG
Molecule: ribosomal RNA, 468 nt
Filed under: uncultured bacterium
Lineage: Bacteria
Description: partial 16S ribosomal RNA
Rfam family: Bacterial small subunit ribosomal RNA
Source: RNAcentral